Molecule: ribosomal RNA, 2190 nt
Filed under: Triticum aestivum (bread wheat)
Lineage: Eukaryota; Viridiplantae; Streptophyta; Magnoliopsida; Poales; Poaceae
Description: partial small subunit ribosomal RNA
Source: RNAcentral
AUGUUACCCUGCUAUGCCCCAUGGCCCAAGAUCACUCAAGCAGAUGUCAGGAAAUAUAUGACUGUGUUUAUUAAGGUAGACAGAGAUGGAGAUGGGAAGAUUACUGGUGAAGAGGCAAGGAAUUUGUUUUUAAGUUGGUGGUUGCCAAGAGAGAUCAUAAGGAAGGUGUGGGAUUUAUCCGACCAGGAUAAGGAUGGGAUGCUGUCCUUCAAGGAAUUUUGUUUUGCUGUGUACUUAAUGGAGAGGUUCCGAGAGCAGCGACCACUUCCUGAUGUAUUACCAGAUGGUAUUUGGGCGGAGGGAAUUUCACUACCCUCUACUGGCCAGUUUGCAGAAAACCCUAGUGGCCUGGCUCCCCAUCCAAGUGCUGGGGUUACAAGUAGAGCAAUGCAAGGACCACAUCCUGGAAUGCCUCCUUCAUCUGUGAAGCGACAACAUCGAAGGCCUCUUCAUUUUGAUGAUGAUACUACGCAAACUGAACCACAAAAACCUAAGGUCCCAGCAUUGGAGAAACAUUUGGUUGGCCAGCAUAGCAAAGAGGAAGGAAAUGCACUUGAAGCGAAGUUCAAGGAAGCUUCAGAUGCCGAUAAAAAGGUUCAAGAGUUGGAAAAGGAAAUACUGGAUUCCUGGGAUAAGACUGAUUACCAUCGCACCAAGAUGCAGGAGCUUAUUCUCUACAAGAGUAGGUGUGAUAACAGGUUUAAUGAAGUCCCAGAAAGUAUGUCUGCUGAUAAGCGUGAGGUUUCUAUUAACAGAGAAUCAAAAUCAAGGCCUGUAGACAUGCAAGAGUUUCAGUCCAUUACCAACAAUCAUUGCUGCACCAGCCAGCCUGUUAGAGAGGUGUCAAUAUCGUCAUCACCAUCCUCUAGCAGGAUGAUUGGGAUCUCAAAAAUUCAGGUUAUUGUAUAUAUUGGCAACUUUAGCCCAUUCCCGAUGCAAUUUGAAGACAAUUCUACAAUUGAGCACAUUGUGUGUGCAGCUUUUCAAAAACAAAAUAUCAGCAAAUUUGAUGCAAUUAUCCGAGUGAAUAGCCGCAAUGCUUAUCUUCAGGAUACAUUGUCUUAUUUGAACAUUAAUAACGACAAAGAGUGUAGUCUCUAUAUCGGUCCUCGGCUACGGGGAGGUCAGCCUCCUUCAAGCUCUAAAUGCCCUGUCCCUCCAAGUACUGAGUUAUUCAUCAAAUAUUUAUCAAGGCUUGGGGAUGAACUAUUCGACGUGGUACUUUUUCCAUCAGAUCCAGCCAUAGACUUUGUCGGUAUGGUUCCGUAUUUUGUUUCUCUGGGAUUACAAGGUAUUGAGAUAGCUCAAAUGCUUUUUGAGCUUCUUGAAAGUUACCAUGAGAGACAGAAGUGCGUUUCACAUUUCAUCUUGGCAAACCUUGAGUAUGAUAGUACCUCCAAAAAAUUACUGUUUAGAGGCAGUGUACGAAUAGUGGAUUUUGAUCACAAUAACUACUGCGAGAAUAUGUCUGAUGCUGGCACGGUUUUAUCUGAAAUAUUCCGGUUCGAUGAGUUGAAGCUCCUGGCCGGUUAUUCUGGAAUACGGAUACCACCUGGGACUGCUAACAAUAAUGGCAAGAUCCCCAAGCUUGUACAGCUGUUGAUUCAUGACCUGCAAACUGGAAUAAGAGUAUUCCCUGGUGCUGGCAUGAGCAAGCGUGCAAGGGCUUAUUUCCGCUGCCAUGUCGGUGCGAUGACCUCGGCUGCACGCCUAGCCUUUUGGUUAACAUCGGAGUUACACUUUGAAUAUAUGGGCGGUGAGCAAUUUCUGGACACUUUUAUCGGUGAACUCCAUGUACCUGAUUGGUCAACAUGUGCAAUCCGUUCACCUGCAAUGAUGACAGUAUAUCUUUGGCGGAAUUACAACACCUCCUCCUUGGGAUGCCAAUUGUCCUGUUCGCGUAAUUUUUUAAGUCAUGCUCGAGAAAAUUUAGGUGCCCUGCUUUCAGAAAAACAGGCUGAGGCGUACCUGAACAUUGUGUUUGAGUGGCUGUUGUACUAUCUGCUGUUGAAGUCUUCGUUUCCAGGAGCGGUGAUCAAUUGGAACAAACGUUCUCUACCCCCGGCACUGCCGCCGCCGCCGCCACCUUAUCCUGUGCCUGCUGGCCCAGCUCCAAGGCAACUCAAGUUCUCCAACAACUUUACGUUUGACCAAUUGAUUGAUACCAGUGGAUACUUGGGUGACUGUUAG